Molecule: ribosomal RNA, 465 nt
Filed under: Vreelandella stevensii
Lineage: Bacteria; Pseudomonadati; Pseudomonadota; Gammaproteobacteria; Oceanospirillales; Halomonadaceae
Description: partial 16S ribosomal RNA
Rfam family: Bacterial small subunit ribosomal RNA
Source: RNAcentral
CCUACGGGGGGCUGCAGUGGGGAAUAUUGGACAAUGGGGGGAACCCUGAUCCAGCCAUGCCGCGUGUGUGAAGAAGGCCCUCGGGUUGUAAAGCACUUUCAGUGGGGAAGAACGCCUGGUGGUUAAUACCCAUCAGGAAAGACAUCACUCACAGAAGAAGCACCGGCUAACUCCGUGCCAGCAGCCGCGGUAAUACGGAGGGUGCGAGCGUUAAUCGGAAUUACUGGGCGUAAAGCGCGCGUAGGUGGCUUGAUAAGCCGGUUGUGAAAGCCCCGGGCUCAACCUGGGAACGGCAUCCGGAACUGGCAAGCUAGAGUGCAGGAGAGGAAGGUAGAAUUCCCGGUGUAGCGGUGAAAUGCGUAGAGAUCGGGAGGAAUACCAGUGGCGAAGGCGGCCUUCUGGACUGAAACUGACACUGAGGUGCGAAAGCGUGGGUAGCAAACAGGAUUAGCUACCCGAGUAGUC